GAUGAAGAACGUAGCGAAAUGCGAUACUUGGUGUGAAUUGCAGAAUCCCGUGAACCAUCGAGUCUUUGAACGCAAGUUGCGCCCGAAGCCAUUAGGCCGAGGGCACGCCUGCCUGGGCGUCACACGUCGUUGCCCCCCCCAUCUACUCCUUCGGGAUUGCGGGGGCGGAUGAUGGCCUCCCGUGUGCCUCGCCGCGCGGUUGGCAUAAAUGCCAAGUCCUCGGCGACGCACGCCACGACAAUCGGUGGUUGCGAAACCUCGGUUGCCCGUCGUGUGCGGUCGUCGCGCAUCGAGGGCUCGAAAAAAUUGCCGGGUUCCGGCUCGGCUUUCAACGCGACCCCAGGUCAGGCGGGGUUACCCGCUGAAUUUAAGCAUAUCAAUAAGCGGAGGA
RNAcentral lists this unclassified non-coding RNA (391 nucleotides) under soil metagenome. RNAcentral describes it as "partial contains 5.8S ribosomal RNA, internal transcribed spacer 2, and large subunit ribosomal RNA". The stretch from base 1 to 122 matches the Rfam family "5.8S ribosomal RNA", at positions 35 to 154 of the family's 154-position model. The record is from RNAcentral.